AUUGAACGCUGGCGGCAGGCCUAACACAUGCAAGUCGAGCGGAUGAAGGGAGCUUGCUCCUGGAUUCAGCGGCGGACGGGUGAGUAAUGCCUAGGAAUCUGCCUGGUAGUGGGGGAUAACGUCCGGAAACGGGCGCUAAUACCGCAUACGUCCUGAGGGAGAAAGUGGGGGAUCUUCGGACCUCACGCUAUCAGAUGAGCCUAGGUCGGAUUAGCUAGUUGGUGGGGUAAAGGCCUACCAAGGCGACGAUCCGUAACUGGUCUGAGAGGAUGAUCAGUCACACUGGAACUGAGACACGGUCCAGACUCCUACGGGAGGCAGCAGUGGGGAAUAUUGGACAAUGGGCGAAAGCCUGAUCCAGCCAUGCCGCGUGUGUGAAGAAGGUCUUCGGAUUGUAAAGCACUUUAAGUUGGGAGGAAGGGCAGUAAGUGAAUACCUUGCUGUUUUGACGUUACCAACAGAAAAAGCACCGGCUAACUUCGUG
Molecule: ribosomal RNA, 484 nt
Filed under: uncultured bacterium
Lineage: Bacteria
Description: partial 16S ribosomal RNA
Rfam family: Bacterial small subunit ribosomal RNA
Source: RNAcentral